AGGAGGAGAGACCAUCCACGACUAUUAGAGGCUUGGGGGGAGGCCAGGAGGAGAGACCGUCCAUGACUGUUAGCAGCUUGGGGGGAGGUCAGAAGGAGAGACCGUCCAUGACUGGUAGCGGCUUGGGGGGAGGCCAGGAGGAGAGACCGUCCAUGAUUGUUAGCGGCUUGGGGGGAGGUCAGGAGGAGAGACCGUCCAUGACUGGUAGCGGCUUGGGGGGAGGCCAGGAGGAGAGACCGUCCA
This is a long non-coding RNA of Brienomyrus brachyistius, 243 nucleotides long. RefSeq lists it as uncharacterized. NCBI's taxonomy places the organism in Eukaryota, Metazoa, Chordata, Actinopteri, Osteoglossiformes, Mormyridae. The transcript has 3 exons. The record is from RefSeq and is a predicted model, not a curated record.